UAACUACUCCCUCUGUCCCAAAUUUCUUAUCUUAGAGUUUUCUAGAUACAGAUGUAUCUAAUACUAAAAUGUGAUUUGAUACAUCCGUAUCUAGACAAAUCUAAGACAAGAAUUUUGGGACGGAGGAGUACUUU
This is a non-coding RNA of Triticum urartu, 134 nucleotides long. NCBI's taxonomy places the organism in Eukaryota, Viridiplantae, Streptophyta, Magnoliopsida, Poales, Poaceae. The record is from Rfam.